AUGAAUAACCGUGCCAGCUGGGAUGAGGGCACGACAAAAACUUUGCUGGACUUGAGCAUUGCUCAGAAGAACCAGCUCAACUGGAGCGACAAAUGCCUCACUAAGUUGGGAUGGAGGAAUGUGUACUCAUGCUUCAGGGCACAAACUGGGUUGCAAUUGGGCAGCAAGCAGCUGCAGAACAAGCUCAACAACAUGAGGAGGGCAUUCCUCGGCUGGCUGGCCUUGCAAAACAAAUCUGGUUUAGGGCGCGACACACAAAACUGGUGGUGUGUCUGCUUAUGCCACCUAUUGGGAGCAGGACCAACAGGACACCCAGGCGAGGUCCCAGUCGAGUUCUGUGAAGCCUCCACCUUUCCUCGACGAGUUAUUUGAGUUGUUUGUCCAUGAACCCCAAGACAGGGGCACGUUGAUGACGGCCGGAGGUAUUCGUGAGGCGACACCUAGCAUGAGGACUAAGGGCAAUGCAGCGGACUUGGAGCAGGACCCCCCCUGCUAGUAGUGCUCGUGCCAUGUCCAAACAGCCGGUCCGGGAGUUCUCUGUGGACAGUCCCACGAAAAAAAGAAGUGACAACUUGGAGCAGUACAUCAGGGACUAUCUGAGAGUGUGGCCAAGAGGAGCCUGCUACGUGCAGACCGUACCCAUGACCAAAUGGUUCGUUGUAUGCAGAUCCUAAAAGAAGAUGGUAUACAGGAGGGGUCUCCGCUUCACAACCAGGCUAUGUAUUUAUGUACUAAGAGCGCGGAGUAUCGGUCGACGUUCAUGGAGAUGGCAACGAAAGAGGGCCGAAUGAGCUGGAUACAACUCUACUGGGACAUGACCAACAAGAAGUGAUUGUGCCAUGACUGUUAGUUGUAGUGAUGUGUAUGUGAGAGUUUGGAAAAUAAUAUUUGCACUUGUGUUGGAACAGUAUUGUUAGCUUCUGUAACAUGUCCUGAUCGUUGAACCUUUCUAUGUUACUGAUCGUUGAACCUUUCUAUGUUACUGAUCAUUGAACCUUUAUUUUUAGUGGUAGAUCAAUUCCUAUAAGUUCCUGA
Setaria italica (foxtail millet) is the source of this 1035-nucleotide long non-coding RNA. RefSeq lists it as uncharacterized. NCBI's taxonomy places the organism in Eukaryota, Viridiplantae, Streptophyta, Magnoliopsida, Poales, Poaceae. The transcript has 2 exons. The record is from RefSeq and is a predicted model, not a curated record.